AAAAAAUUAGUUAAGUUUAACAUUAGUAUGUCAUACUAAAGACACUAGUAUCAAUCUAGUAUUUUUUA
RNAcentral lists this transfer RNA (68 nucleotides) under Filchneria songi. RNAcentral describes it as "tRNA-Asp". The record is from RNAcentral. Lineage: Eukaryota; Metazoa; Arthropoda; Insecta; Plecoptera; Perlodidae.